Molecule: ribosomal RNA, 459 nt
Filed under: uncultured bacterium
Lineage: Bacteria
Description: partial 16S ribosomal RNA
Rfam family: Bacterial small subunit ribosomal RNA
Source: RNAcentral
CCUACGGGAGGCUGCAGUGAGGAAUAUUGGUCAAUGGGCGGAAGCCUGAACCAGCCAAGUAGCGUGCGGGAUGAAGGCCCUACGGGUCGUAAACCGCUUUUGCACGGGGAUAACACCCUCCACUUGUGGAGGUCUGCAGGUACCGUGCGAAUAAGGGCCGGCUAAUUCCGUGCCAGCAGCCGCGGUAAUACGGAAGGCCCGAGCGUUAUCCGGAUUCAUUGGGCUUAAAGGGAGCGUAGGCGGGCGUUCAAGUCAGCUGUAAAAUCGCGCGGCUCAACCGCGCCCCGCAGUUGAAACUGGACGCAUUGAGUUCACAACAGGCAGGCGGAAUUCGUGGUGUAGCGGUGAAAUGCAUAGAUAUCACGAGGAACCCCGAUUGCGAAGGCAGCCUGCCGGGGUGCGACUGACGCUGAGGCUCGAAGAUGCGGGUAUCAAACAGGAUUAGAUACCCCUGUAGUC